AGCAGCCGCGGUAAUUCCAACUCCAAUAGCGUAUAUUAAAGUUGUUGCAGUUAAAAAGCUCGUAGUUGAAUUUCGAGAUCAAAUUGUUGGUCGUGCCUUGGUACGUACUGGCAUUAUUGGUUUCUCCCUUCUGAAGAACCAUGAUGUCAUUAAUUUGGUGUCAUGGGGAAUCAGGACUGUUACUUUGAAAAAAUUAGAGUGUUUAAAGCAGGCUCGCGCUUGAAUACAUUAGCAUGGAAUAAUGAAAUAGGACGUUUAAUUCUAUUUUGUUGGUUUCUAGGAUUGACGUAAUGAUUAAUAGGGAUAGUUGGGGGCAUUAGUAUUCAAUUGUCAGAGGUGAAAUUCUUGGAUUUAUUGAAGACUAACUACUGCGAAAGCAUUUGCCAAGGAUGUUUUCAUUAAUCAAGAACGAAAGUUAGGGGAUCGAAGACGAUCAGAUACCGUCGUAGUCUUAACCAUAAACUAUGCCGACUAGGGAUCGGAUGAUGUUAAUUUUUAAUGACUCAUUCGGCGCCUUAAC
This 520-nucleotide ribosomal RNA is filed under the name uncultured Glomus. Its description in RNAcentral is "SSU rRNA". It matches the Rfam family "Eukaryotic small subunit ribosomal RNA", at positions 569 to 1092 of the family's 1831-position model. Lineage: Eukaryota; Fungi; Glomeromycota; Glomeromycetes; Glomerales; Glomeraceae. The record is from RNAcentral.